This 813-nucleotide ribosomal RNA is filed under the name uncultured bacterium. RNAcentral's name for it is "bacterial SSU rRNA". It matches the Rfam family "Bacterial small subunit ribosomal RNA", at positions 102 to 916 of the family's 1533-position model. The record is from RNAcentral.
ACGGGUGCGUAACGCGUAUGCAACCUGCCCCUGACCGGGACAAAACAGCUGGAAACGGCUGCUAAUAUCCCAUGGUUACCGAGGAGGGCAUCCUCCUUUGUAUAAAGAUUCAUUGGUCGGGGAUGGGCAUGCGUAUUAUUAGGUAGUUGGUGGGGUAACGGCCCACCAAGCCGACGAUGAUUAGGGGUUCUGAGAGGAUUAACCCCCACACUGGAACUGAGACACGGUCCAGACUCCUACGGGAGGCAGCAGUAGGGAAUAUUGGGCAAUGGAGGCAACUCUGACCCAGCCAUGCCGCGUGAAGGAAGACGGCCCUAUGGGUUGUAAACUUCUUUUAUCGUGGAGUAAACCCGGUCACGUGUGGCCGGUUGAGAGUACACGAGGAAUAAGUAUCGGCUAACUCCGUGCCAGCAGCCGCGGUAAUACGGAGGAUACGAGCGUUAUCCGGAUUUAUUGGGUUUAAAGGGUGCGCAGGCGGAUCGGUAAGUCAGGGGUGAAAAGUUGGGGCUCAACUCCAAUCGUGCCUUUGAUACUGCCGGACUAGAGUGCGAUAGGCGUGGCUGGAAUGUGAUGUGUAGCGGUGAAAUGCUUAGAUAUGUCACAGAACACCGAUCGAGAAGUCAGGUCACGAGCUCGCAACUGACGCUCAGGCACGAAAGCGUGGGGAUCAAACAGGCUUAGAUACCCUGGUAGUCCACGCUGUAAACGAUGAUCACUCGUUGUUGGGGGGCGACCCUCAGCGGCCAAGCGAAAGCAAUAAGUGAUCCACCUGGGGAGUACGAUCGCAAGGUUGAAACUCAAAGGAAUUGACGG